Molecule: transfer RNA, 96 nt
Filed under: Verrucomicrobiota bacterium
Lineage: Bacteria; Pseudomonadati; Verrucomicrobiota
Description: Verrucomicrobia bacterium (rhizosphere metagenome) tRNA-Sec
Rfam family: Selenocysteine transfer RNA
Source: RNAcentral
GGAGAGUGAAGGGUGCCUGGUGGCCCCCGCGGUCUUCAAAACCGUUGUCGGCCCGCCUUGAGGCGGGUGAGGUAGGUUCGAUUCCUGCCCUCUCCG